GUAGGGAAUAUUGGGCAAUGGGCGCAAGCCUGACCCAGCCAUGCCGCGUGCAGGAUGAAGGCGCUCAGCGUUGUAAACUGCUUUUAUCGGUGAAGAACGGCAGUCCUGCGGGAUUGUGUGACGGUAGCCGAGGAAUAAGCACCGGCUAACUCCGUGCCAGCAGCCGCGGUAAUACGGAGGGUGCAAGCGUUGUCCGGAUUUAUUGGGUUUAAAGGGUGCGUAGGUGGUCGUCUAAGUCUGGUUUUAAAGUUGGCUGCUUAACAGUCAAAGGUGGCUGGAAACUGGACGACUUGAAUGGGAUGGCGGUAGCCGGAAUGGGUCAUGUAGCGGUGAAAUGCAUAGAUAUGACCCGGAACACCGAUUGCGAAGGCAGGCUACUACGUCCCGAUUGACACUGAGGCACGAGAGCAUGGGUAGCGAACAGGAUUAGAAACCCUAGUAGUCC
This 445-nucleotide ribosomal RNA is filed under the name uncultured bacterium. Its description in RNAcentral is "bacterial SSU rRNA". It matches the Rfam family "Bacterial small subunit ribosomal RNA", at positions 354 to 796 of the family's 1533-position model. The record is from RNAcentral.